RNAcentral lists this ribosomal RNA (487 nucleotides) under uncultured Alphaproteobacteria bacterium. RNAcentral's name for it is "bacterial SSU rRNA". It matches the Rfam family "Bacterial small subunit ribosomal RNA", at positions 38 to 573 of the family's 1533-position model. Lineage: Bacteria; Pseudomonadati; Pseudomonadota; Alphaproteobacteria. The record is from RNAcentral.
GGCGGCAGGCCUAAAACAUGCAAGUCGAGCGCCCAGCAAUGGGAGCGGCGGACGGGUGAGUAACACGUGGGAACGUACCUUUCGGUUCGGAACAACUCAGGGAAACUUGAGCUAAUGCCGAAUUCGCCCUAACGGGGAAAGAUUUAUCGCCGAAAGAUCGGCCCGCGUAAGAUUAGCUAGUUGGUGAGGUAACGGCCCACCAAGGCGACGAUCUUUAGCUGGUUUGAGAGAACGACCAGCCACACUGGGACUGAGACACGGCCCAGACUCCUACGGGAGGCAGCAGUGGGGAAUAUUGGACAAUGGGCGAAAGCCUGAUCCAGCAAUGCCGCGUGAGUGAUGAAGGCCUUAGGGUUGUAAAGCUCUUUUACCCGGGAUGAUAAUGACAGUACCGGGAGAAUAAGCUCCGGCUAACUCCGUGCCAGCAGCCGCGGUAAUACGGAGGGAGCUAGCGUUGUUCGGAAUUACUGGGCGUAAAGCGCACGUA